This 911-nucleotide ribosomal RNA is filed under the name Diaporthe sp. RNAcentral's name for it is "partial large subunit ribosomal RNA". It matches the Rfam family "Eukaryotic large subunit ribosomal RNA", at positions 36 to 967 of the family's 3401-position model. Lineage: Eukaryota; Fungi; Ascomycota; Sordariomycetes; Diaporthales; Diaporthaceae. The record is from RNAcentral.
UAGCAUAUCAAUAAGCGGAGGAAAAGAAACCAACAGGGAUUGCCAUAGUAACGGCGAGUGAAGCGGCAACAGCUCAAAUUUGAAAUCUGGCUCUUUCAGGGUCCGAGUUGUAAUUUGUAGAGGGUGCUUUGGCGUUGGCUGUGGUCUAAGUUCCUUGGAACAGGACGUCGCAGAGGGUGAGAAUCCCGUAUGUGGCCGCCAGUCUUCGCCGUGUAAAGCCCCUUCGACGAGUCGAGUUGUUUGGGAAUGCAGCUCUAAAUGGGAGGUAAAUUUCUUCUAAAGCUAAAUAUUGGCCAGAGACCGAUAGCGCACAAGUAGAGUGAUCGAAAGAUGAAAAGCACUUUGGAAAGAGAGUCAAAAAGCACGUGAAAUUGUUGAAAGGGAAGCGCUUGCAGCCAGACUUGCUUGCAGUUGUUUAGCUAGGCUUUUGCCUGGUGUACUCUUCUGUAUGCAGGCCAGCAUCAGUCCGGGCGGUUGGAUAAAGGCCUAUUAAACGUACCUCUCUCGGGAGGACUUAUAGGGUAGGUGCCAUGCAACCAGCCUGGAUUGAGGUCCGCGCAUCUGCUAGGAUGCUGGCGUAAUGGCUGUAAGCGGCCCGUCUUGAAACACGGACCAAGGAGUCUAACAUCUAUGCGAGUGUUUGGGUGUCAAGCCCGAACGCGUAAUGAAAGUGAACGGAGGUGGGAACCUUUCGGGGUGCACCAUCGACCGAUCCUGAUGUCUUCGGAUGGAUUUGAGUAAGAGCAUAGCUGUUGGGACCCGAAAGAUGGUGAACUAUGCCUGAAUAGGGUGAAGCCAGAGGAAACUCUGGUGGAGGCUCGCAGCGGUUCUGACGUGCAAAUCGAUCGUCAAAUUUGGGCAUAGGGGCGAAAGACUAAUCGAACUAUCUAGUAGCUGGUUCCUGCCGAGCU